This is a small nucleolar RNA of Phyllostomus hastatus (greater spear-nosed bat), 131 nucleotides long. RefSeq annotates it as small nucleolar RNA SNORA42/SNORA80 family. Lineage: Eukaryota; Metazoa; Chordata; Mammalia; Chiroptera; Phyllostomidae. The transcript has a single exon. The record is from RefSeq and is a predicted model, not a curated record.
GCAAGUGGAUACGAAAGAAGAGGUAUAUCCCUGGGUCUCUAAUAGUGCCCCAUGCCAGAGCAAACUGUGGCCUUGAACUAUUGCCUGGCCUCUACCUGUAGACUGCAAGCACUGUAGUAGGUUUCACAGUG